AGUGAACGCUGGCGGUAGGCCUAACACAUGCAAGUCGAACGGCAGCACAGUAAUAGCUUGCUCUUACGGGUGGGGAGUGGCGGACGGGUGAGGAAUACAUCGGAAUCUACUUUUUCGUGGGGGAUAACGUAGGGAAACUUACGCUAAUACCGCAUACGACCUACGGGUGAAAGCAGGGGAUCUUCGGACCUUGCGCGAUUGAAUGAGCCGAUGUCGGAUUAGCUAGUUGGCGGGGUAAAGGCCCACCAAGGCGACGAUCCGUAGCUGGUCUGAGAGGAUGGUCGGCCACACUGGAACUGAGCCACGGUCCAGACUCCUACGGGAGGCAGCAGUGGGGAAUAUUGGACAAUGGGCGCAAGCCUGGUCCAGCCAUACCGCGUGGGUGAAGAAGGCCUUCGGGUUGUAAAGCCCUUUUGUUGGGAAAGAAAAGCAGCAGGUUAAUACCCCGCUGUUCUGACGGUACCCAAAGAAUAAGCACCGGCUAACUUCGUG
Molecule: ribosomal RNA, 492 nt
Filed under: uncultured bacterium
Lineage: Bacteria
Description: partial 16S ribosomal RNA
Rfam family: Bacterial small subunit ribosomal RNA
Source: RNAcentral